This 1379-nucleotide ribosomal RNA is filed under the name uncultured bacterium. RNAcentral's name for it is "16S ribosomal RNA". It matches the Rfam family "Bacterial small subunit ribosomal RNA". The record is from RNAcentral.
UUCGCCCUUAGAGUUUGAUCCUGGCUCAGGACGAACGCUGGCGGCGCGCCUAACACAUGCAAGUCGAACGAGCGAGAGAGAGCUUGCUUUCUCGAGCGAGUGGCGAACGGGUGAGUAACGCGUGAGGAACCUGCCUCAAAGAGGGGGACAACAGUUGGAAACGACUGCUAAUACCGCAUAAGCCCACGGCUCGGCAUCGAGCAGAGGGAAAAGGAGCAAUCCGCUUUGAGAUGGCCCCGCGUCCGAUUAGCUAGUUGGUGAGGUAAUGGCCCACCAAGGCGACGAUCGGUAGCCGGACUGAGAGGUUGAACGGCCACAUUGGGACUGAGACACGGCCCAGACUCCUACGGGAGGCAGCAGUGGGGAAUAUUGCACAAUGGGGGAAACCCUGAUGCAGCGACGCCGCGUGGAGGAAGAAGGUCUUCGGAUUGUAAACUCCUGUUGUUGGGGAAGAUAAUGACGGUACCCAACAAGGAAGUGACGGCUAACUACGUGCCAGCAGCCGCGGUAAAACGUAGGUCACAAGCGUUGUCCGGAAUUACUGGGUGUAAAGGGAGCGCAGGCGGGAAGACAAGUUGGAAGUGAAAUCUAUGGGCUCAACCCAUAAACUGCUUUCAAAACUGUUUUUCUUGAGUAGUGCAGAGGUAGGCGGAAUUCCCGGUGUAGCGGUGGAAUGCGUAGAUAUCGGGAGGAACACCAGUGGCGAAGGCGGCCUACUGGGCACCAACUGACGCUGAGGCUCGAAAGUGUGGGUAGCAAACAGGAUUAGAUACCCUGGUAGUCCACACCGUAAACGAUGAUUACUAGGUGUUGGAGGAUUGACCCCUUCAGUGCCGCAGUUAACACAAUAAGUAAUCCACCUGGGGAGUACGACCGCAAGGUUGAAACUCAAAGGAAUUGACGGGGGCCCGCACAAGCAGUGGAGUAUGUGGUUUAAUUCGACGCAACGCGAAGAACCUUACCAAGUCUUGACAUCCCUUGACGAUGCUGGAAACAGUAUUUCUCUUCGGAGCAAGGAGACAGGUGGUGCAUGGUUGUCGUCAGCUCGUGUCGUGAGAUGUUGGGUUAAGUCCCGCAACGAGCGCAACCCUUAUGGUCAGUUACUACGCAAGAGGACUCUGGCCAGACUGCCGUUGACAAAACGGAGGAAGGUGGGGAUGACGUCAAAUCAUCAUGCCCUUUAUGACUUGGGCUACACACGUACUACAAUGGCGUUAAACAAAGAGAAGCAAGACCGCGAGGUGGAGCAAAACUCAGAAACAACGUCCCAGUUCGGACUGCAGGCUGCAACUCGCCUGCACGAAGUCGGAAUUGCUAGUAAUCGUGGAUCAGCAUGCCACGGUGAAUACGUUCCCGGGCCUUGCACUCACCGCCCGUCA